AAUUCUCAACCCCUCCAGCUUUUAUUGUUGGUUUUGGGGCUUGGAUGUGGAGGUCCUGUCGGCCCAUUACAGGUCGACUCCUCUGAAAUACAUUAGCGGAACCGUUUGCAAUCCGUCACAGGUGUGAUAAUUAUCUAUGCCAGUGGAUUGCUCUCUGUCUUGUUCAGCUGCCAAUCGUCCAUCAUGGACAACUAUUACUGAAU
Molecule: unclassified non-coding RNA, 203 nt
Filed under: uncultured Agaricaceae
Lineage: Eukaryota; Fungi; Basidiomycota; Agaricomycetes; Agaricales; Agaricaceae
Description: sequence contains ITS2
Source: RNAcentral